Molecule: unclassified non-coding RNA, 452 nt
Filed under: Hevea brasiliensis (rubber tree)
Lineage: Eukaryota; Viridiplantae; Streptophyta; Magnoliopsida; Malpighiales; Euphorbiaceae
Source: RNAcentral
GAUUUUUGAGAAGAGAAAAGAAUAGAAACAUACUCACCUGGGACUUUUCCUGGCUGAACAAUCACCUUUCUAUUGUGACAGAGGCAUGACAAGACACAACCCUAACACAAUUUCACCACUUUCAACAACAGUCAUUGUGUUCAAAAUAACAGCAGUGUGGAGUUCUAUUACUCAAGUCAAACAGCUGGCCGUCAUUUAAGGACCAAGGCAGCAAAUGUUCUACAUGCUAGUUCUAGUGCAUUUGUCUGAAAAUCACUGGAACAUGGGUCAUUGUUCACAACAACAGCAUACUUUGAUUCAAAAGUAUCAAGACAACCAGAAAAGUACAAACCGCUCAACUUCAAUCAUCUCAAAUCCUUUAAAAUAGCAACCAAAACCACAAAGACGUGGAAGACAACAGAACACUACCAUUCAGAUGAAUCAAACAAUAACCAAAAUGACACCUACGCAAA